UAAAUGGCCCUUUUCAGGGCCCCAUAUUUUACAAACGGAGCUGUUU
Molecule: non-coding RNA, 46 nt
Organism: Ixodes scapularis (black-legged tick)
Lineage: Eukaryota; Metazoa; Arthropoda; Arachnida; Ixodida; Ixodidae
Source: Rfam